UCAUAUUACUGUACUCGUAAACCAACAUUACCCUCUCCUAAAGUCUCUGUGCUCUCCCUCCCCACAGGCUUCUGUGGAUGGUGGUUCUAUCUGAUGGUGGUUCUAUGUGAUGGUGGUGGCCCCUGCAGUGGUCCUGCUGGAUGUGCCACAACCAGGCGCGGAUUGGUGGACGGUCUCCUACCGUCCUGUGAUUGGCUGCAGUACCUGCAUAUAACGGAAGCAAAGAUGGCGUCCGAGACAGAGCAGUCCAGAGCGGGGAGAACAGCAGCAGCACACAACCCUCGUCCUCCUCCUCUCCCGAACAGCCAUCUGUGUUAUAUUGUGAAGCCUGUGAAGUAUGCCGUAUUUCUUUUGAGUUGGUUUUCUCCUGUUUUUAAAGUUGAUAGGUAGAUAAGACUGGUGUCAUUAUUUUUCUCCUUUGUUUUGGUAGGUCAGCAUC
Molecule: long non-coding RNA, 439 nt
Organism: Gasterosteus aculeatus aculeatus (three-spined stickleback)
Lineage: Eukaryota; Metazoa; Chordata; Actinopteri; Perciformes; Gasterosteidae
Source: Ensembl